CCUACGGGGCGCAGCAGUGAGGAAUAUUGGACAAUGGGGGCAACCCUGACCCAGCCAUGCCGCGUGAGUGAAGAAGGUCUUCGGUAUGUAAAGCUCUUUCGGACGGGACGAUGAUGACGGUAGCGUCCUAAGAAGCACCGGCAAACUUCGUGCCAGCAGCCGCGGUAAUACGUAGGGGGCGAGCGUUGUCCGGAAUUACUGGGCGUAAAGGGAGCGUAGGCGGGUAUGUAAGAUAGCAGUGAAAUGCCGGGGCUCAACCCCGGAACUGCCUUUAUGACUGUGUAGCUAGAGUACUGGAGAGGUAAGCGGAAUACCCGGUGUAGAGGUGAAAUUCGUAGAUAUUGGGUAGAACACCGGUGGCGAAGGCGGCUAUCUGGACAUUUACUGACGCUGAGGCUCGAAAGCGUGGGGAUCAAACAGGAUUAGAUACCCCUGUAGUC
RNAcentral lists this ribosomal RNA (440 nucleotides) under uncultured bacterium. RNAcentral describes it as "partial 16S ribosomal RNA". It matches the Rfam family "Bacterial small subunit ribosomal RNA", at positions 338 to 795 of the family's 1533-position model. The record is from RNAcentral.